RNAcentral lists this non-coding RNA (121 nucleotides) under Teredinibacter turnerae T8402. Its description in RNAcentral is "RT-12 RNA". It matches the Rfam family "RT-12 RNA". From Rfam's summary of the family: Proteobacteria. Nearby to self-splicing intron genes The record is from Rfam by way of RNAcentral. Lineage: Bacteria; Pseudomonadati; Pseudomonadota; Gammaproteobacteria; Cellvibrionales; Cellvibrionaceae.
UAACACUGGCGGCUGCGUAUCACUCUAGGGUACGUGAUAGUGCGAUAUAAGAAGCACUGGUACAUGCCGGCAGGGACAGUUAAGAGAUGGCCGCAGUCUCGUGUCCCUGCCGGUUUGGCUA